CUUGACUUCCAUAAGAGGUCCAGCCUGCCCAGUGAUACUAUUAAACGGCCGCGGUACCCUGACCGUGCGAAGGUAGCAUAAUAACUUGUUCUUUAAAUGGGGACUAGCAUGAACGGCAUCACGAGGGUCUCACUGUCUCCUUUUUCUAAUCAGUGAAACUGAUCUCCCCGUGAAGAAGCGGGGAUAAAAAUAUAAGACGAGAAGACCCCAUGGAGCUUUAAACCCAAUAGACACCUCUGACUAAUCUAACCCAAAACACUUCUUAAGUUCUGUCUAUUGGUUUUAGGUUGGGGUGACCACGGAGUACAAUAAAUCCUCCAUGACGUACGGGACUUCCCUCUUAUCCUUGAACCACAUUUCUAAGAAUCAACAAAUUGACGUUUGAUGAUCCAAUAUAUUGAUCAACGGACCA
RNAcentral lists this ribosomal RNA (412 nucleotides) under Fejervarya limnocharis (Boie's wart frog). RNAcentral describes it as "partial 16S ribosomal RNA". It matches the Rfam family "Bacterial large subunit ribosomal RNA", at positions 1835 to 2459 of the family's 2925-position model. The record is from RNAcentral. Lineage: Eukaryota; Metazoa; Chordata; Amphibia; Anura; Dicroglossidae.